GUAGGUGGCAAGCGUUGUCCGGAAUUAUUGGGCGUAAAGCGCGCGCAGGCGGUUCUUUAAGUCUGAUGUGAAAGCCCACGGCUCAACCGUGGAGGGUCAUUGGAAACUGGAGAACUUGAGUACAGAAGAGGAAAGCGGAAUUCCACGUGUAGCGGUGAAAUGCGUAGAGAUGUGGAGGAACACCGAGUGGCGAAGGCGGCUUUCUGGUCUGUAACUGACGCUGAGGCGCGAAAGCGUGGGGAGCAAACAGGAUUAGAUACCCUGGUAGUCCACGCCGUAAACGAUGAGUGCUAAGUGUUAGGGGGUUUCCGCCCCCUUAGUGCUGCAGCUAACGCAUUAAGCACUCCGCCUGGGAUACGGCCGCAAGGCUG
RNAcentral lists this ribosomal RNA (371 nucleotides) under uncultured organism. RNAcentral's name for it is "partial 16S ribosomal RNA". It matches the Rfam family "Bacterial small subunit ribosomal RNA", at positions 527 to 896 of the family's 1533-position model. The record is from RNAcentral.